RNAcentral lists this ribosomal RNA (537 nucleotides) under uncultured bacterium. RNAcentral's name for it is "bacterial SSU rRNA". It matches the Rfam family "Archaeal small subunit ribosomal RNA", at positions 725 to 1260 of the family's 1478-position model. The record is from RNAcentral.
AGUGAAUAGAUACCCGGGUAGUCCCAGCUGUAAACGAUGCGCGUUAGGUGUAUCGGUGACCACGAGUCACCGAGGUGCCGAAAGAGAAAUCGUGAAACGUGCCGCCUGGGAAGUACGGUCGCAAGGCUGAAACUUAAAGGAAUUGGCGGGGGAGCACCACAACGGUGGAGCCUGCGGUUUAAUCGGACUCAACGCCGGGAAACUCACCAGAUAAGACAGCUGAAUGAUAGUCGGGCUGAAGACUCUACUUGACUAGCUGAGAGGAGGUGCAUGGCCGUCGUCAGUUCGUACUGUGAAGCAUCCUGUUAAGUCAGGCAACGAGCGAGACCCACGCCAACAGUUGCCAGCUCGUCCUCCGGGAUGGAGGGGACACUGUUGGGACCGCCUCUGCUAAAGAGGAGGAAGGAAUGGGCAACGGUAGGUCAGCAUGCCCCGAAUUAUCUGGGCUACACGCGGGCUACAAUGGGUGGGACAAUGGGUAUCGACACCGAAAGGUGAAGGCAAUCUCCUAAACCCAUCCUUAGUUCGGAUUGUGGG